Myodes glareolus (Bank vole) is the source of this 1585-nucleotide long non-coding RNA. RefSeq lists it as uncharacterized. Lineage: Eukaryota; Metazoa; Chordata; Mammalia; Rodentia; Cricetidae. The record is from RefSeq and is a predicted model, not a curated record.
CUGGAGCUGUCAAAGGGCCUGCUUGUGCCUAGCCAAUAAGGAGAGACCAAGCGGUGUUUCCUGAGUGCCUAGCAACAGGCGCUGUCAGAGGUCCUGAUCGUGCCUAGCCAAUGAGAGACGAGAAUGAAAUGUCAGCGGCCAAUGGAUCAGAAUGCGUGGGUGCCGAGAGGGUAUCUGGCCCCGGAACAGGGACUUCUAACAGGGUUUGAGCUUGCCUGGUUCUAGUCAUCUUCCUCUCCUCACUCGCGGUGCUGCACAGUGCUCCCAAAACGACGUAUUUUCGGGGAAAGGCCCCUCGGUUCCUUUGGUGGGUAAGCGUAGGGACUCCCAUCCUUUCCUUCCGUUGAAAGGCCCAUCGGUCCCUUUGGCAAAUAAGCAUUGGGAUCUCCAGUCUUUGCCCAUCUAGUUAGGAAGGUUGUUUUUUGUUUGUUUUUUGUUUGUUUUGUUUUUGGUUUGCCAGGAGGGCUGACCAGGAGGCUCCCGAACGCUGUCCCCUCGUCCAGAGACACCGUGUGGGCACACGGCUGUGGCCUAAAGAACCACACAAGUUCCCCACUAAUCACCAGACAUAAGGCUCCAAUACAGUUUCCCACCCCUGUUGACUGUUGAUCGCCAGUUGCCCCUCUCAGAGGGUUGCUGACAGGCAGGGAGGAAUGAUCUGUCAUCUGUGGGAUGACAGGGAGAAGUGAACUGUGGGGCGGCCUGGGAGAUGAGGGCCUGGAGGCCCUGCUGGCCGGGCCUGAGGUGUGAGCUGUCACUGGUAUGAACUCCCUGCUUGAUUGGGGUCUCAGGGUGCUGUCUGAGCCUCAGGAGUUGGUGACACUCCUAGGCUUCCCUAGCCUGAUGUGCAACUAGGCCGCAGUGAAGGCUGUGGGCCCCUCUGGACCUCCGCUGGACUGUGCCUCUCAUCUGAGCCGCCUGCUUCCUCCGGGGCUUCUGUCCUUCCAGGUGGUCCCUAUAGGUCUGUGGCCCUGCGCAGCUGAUCCCACCGACAUCACAGUAAGGAAGGCCUGGAGGGCAGCCGGGGGCUGCCUUGGGCUUCUGCAGCCUGUCCAGGAAUGUCAGCAUUUCGCUGGUAAAGCGGGAGUCCCAGGGCCUGAGGUCUGUGCCACCCCCCAAGGGUCCGAGCCCACCAGAGCCGUCAGGAAUGCCUGCAGCUUCUGUGGGUCUCGCUGGAAGUGGGAGCUUGGGACUGGCCCACAGAGCAAGGCGGCAGCUGGCUGUUCCGGUGUGUCACAGUCCUGAUCCCCUUUCACUCUCGGCAGCUGAUGGGUGGAUGCAGCAGUGGCCACCGCUUCAUGCUGCUCCUGUCAGUGUAUGCCCUCAGCUACCUGGGGCUGAUCUUCAGUUGGGUGCUGCUGGCGCUUGGGUUUCUCACCUGGUGCCGCAGCCCGUGCUGUGUGCCAACGCUGUUGGAGGACAAGGAGCAAACUGUGUGACUGAGGGUGCGCACCUGCAAUCUGGCCACCUGGGUUCAUUUUCCAGACACUGAAAGAGAAAAAAUGGCUAAAUAAGAUGGGAAAGCACAUGGGGCUCUUUAUUUAUCAAUUUAUAGAGAAGCUCUUUCGAGAAACCAAAGAACAAG